GGGGGGAGAAGAGGGCUGGGCGCUUUCCCCGCAAUGCAUAGGGUUGCAGGUUCAAUCCCCCACCCCGCCCCUCCCAGCUCAACAUCUCUUGCUAAACUGGGGUGGGGUCUUCUUUGAAGCUGGGUCAGGCCCUUCACUGCCCAGGACCUAGGGUUGCCCAGGACCUUCAUUCUGGCAAAAUAUGGGGUGGGCUGGUUGCAGGGCAUGUUUGGUUUUUUUUGUUUUCAUCUGGUGACUCCGAAACAACCGAAAUUGCAACCUAGCAGCCUAACAGGAUGUGUCCCUCUGGAAUUUCCUGCACACAAACAUGCAUUGUUCCUCCAUCCUCUGAGGAGAUGGAUGCGUGCGAGGAAGUCAUGCCGGAGAACUGUGGGAAUGAGACCUCUCUGGCAGGUGAUGGACAGGAGAAUUGUAGAGAACCAUAUCGGGUGCCACCAGAAGCAGCUGUUCAUGAAUUGGGG
This is a non-coding RNA of Podarcis muralis (Common wall lizard), 461 nucleotides long. Lineage: Eukaryota; Metazoa; Chordata; Lepidosauria; Squamata; Lacertidae. The record is from RefSeq and is a predicted model, not a curated record.